CCGGCCUCACUAGGUGCCAGGAGCACGUCCCUCCCCCGGUUGUGACCACCCUGAAUGUCCCUGGACAUGGCCACAAUAUCCCGUGGGGGCAAACUUGCCCCCACUGGAGGCAAGAAACCUCGGAGGUCAAGUGAGAGGAAAAAGCACAUUGAUAAAGUGUCAGAAUUCACACCGCAACUAACUUCAAGACACUGUAUCACCUGUCACGUCUGGGCCUAGGGUAAGGGUGCACAUUACUGUUGGAAUAAGUGAUGAAAGUACUUCUUCCUCUCCAACCACGUGACCGUGUGGGGCUGGAUCUCCCUCAUCUCCGUCAACCGAAACAACAUGUGGAAACAUACUGCAUGCAGAAGCAGGGGAGAGCGCAAAGGCUGCCCCCCACUUUCCCAAAUUACGCAGUUGCGUUUCCCACAUUUGGGGAAAUCGCAGGGGUCAGCACGUGUGGAGUGCAAUGGAGAAGCCUCACCCUGGAAAAACCACCCUCGUGAUCACUGUCUCUCCCCUGCCAGUUCUGACUGUGAACCCUGUAGCUCAGCGGCUAAGGAGGAGAAAGGAAAACCCGCAGGACGGACAGAAAGGACUUUCCCGGUCGUGCUCUGGAAGGAUCGCUGGAGAGCUGCGGCCCGCACGGGACACCUGCACUGACCUCAUUGUGCCGGCAGGGGGCGGUGGGCCGCUGAGUGUGAGCGGCAGUCAGUCCCCGACACCCUCGGAAGCCAGGAUGGGAAUGUCUUGGCAGGCGGGGCAGGGGUGUUCAACAGAGUUCUCCAUUCCGGCGUCUGGCGUGGGCCUGAGAAUUUCUCUUUCUAACAAGUUCCCAGAUGCUGGCGGCUGCUGCUCCAGGGCCACCCCUUGAGAACCAGAUACAAACUUCCGACUCUAACCACCCUGGGGAUGCUGAGAUGCGAGAAUAGACUGCCCACAGGUGAAACAGAACCGGGGAAGCAGAGAGAGAACAGACACACAGAGAGAGGAAGAUGGAGAGGAAAGUGAAGGAAGACCUCCCCCCCUUGGAUUUCUAGAUGUUUCUUAAGCGCCACCCUUGCUGUGAGGCCUUGGGACUUGGACGCUUCUCCUCUAAGGAUCCCCCACCCCUCUUGGCCUGCAGCUCCGAGCACAGGCUGCCCUGUGUCCACUCGGAAGCAGAAACUUCCUCUGGCUGCUAGGAGAUGAAACCUGAUUGGUCGGCAUUGUGUUCUUCUUUGCAAUGAUUGGUCGUAGCAA
Molecule: long non-coding RNA, 1224 nt
Organism: Phyllostomus hastatus (greater spear-nosed bat)
Lineage: Eukaryota; Metazoa; Chordata; Mammalia; Chiroptera; Phyllostomidae
Exons: 4
Source: RefSeq, a predicted model, not a curated record